RNAcentral lists this ribosomal RNA (571 nucleotides) under uncultured fungus. RNAcentral's name for it is "eukaryotic LSU rRNA". It matches the Rfam family "Eukaryotic large subunit ribosomal RNA", at positions 24 to 664 of the family's 3401-position model. The record is from RNAcentral. Lineage: Eukaryota; Fungi.
CCCGCUGAACUUAAGCAUAUUACUAAGCGGAGGAGAAGAAAUUAACAAAGAUUGCCUUAGUAAGGGCGACUGAACCGGCAAGAGCUCAAAAUUGGAAUCGAAAGUUCAAAGAAUUUUCGAAUUGUAAUCAGGUACACCUAAAUACGAGAAUUCGUUUAAGUACGUCGAAUCGUACGCCAUGGAGGGUGAAAGCCCCGUGUAGCGUGUUCUCGAGUAAGGUGCGCUCCACAAGAGUCGGGUUGCCUGGAACUGCAGCCCUAAGCGGGAGAUAUGAAUCUUCCAAAGCUAAAUAUGGAUGGGAGACCGAUAGCGAACAAGUACUGUGAAGGAAAGAUGAAAAGGACUUUGAAAAGAGAGUGAAAAGAUCUGAAAUCGUUGAGAAGGAAGCGGUAGAAACUGAUGGUCGAUAUGAUGGUUAUCGGGGUGAACAGCUCCGUAGUACCUAUCAAAGCGACGGGCAGAAUCAAGUAGAACGCACCAAAAAAGGCGCAAGCUGAAUAGGGUGUGAACUGCUUGAGGGACUAAUGUGAUUUUGCCAAAAUGGUUUCUACCGUCCCGUCUUGAAACACGG